RNAcentral lists this ribosomal RNA (975 nucleotides) under uncultured organism. RNAcentral describes it as "bacterial SSU rRNA". It matches the Rfam family "Bacterial small subunit ribosomal RNA", at positions 48 to 1018 of the family's 1533-position model. The record is from RNAcentral.
CUUACACAUGCAAGUCGAGGGGCAGCACGAGGUAGCAAUACUUUGGUGGCGACCGGCGCACGGGUGAGUAACGCGUAUGCAACCUUCCUUUUACAGGAGGAUAGCUUCCGGAAACGGAAAUUAAUACUCCAUACAAUUACGAAGUGGCAUCACUUUCAGAUUAAAGCUACGGCGGUAAAAGAUGGGCAUGCGUAACAUUAGCUAGUUGGUGAGGUAAAGGCUCACCAAGGCGACGAUGUUUAGGGGUCCUGAGAGGGUUAUCCCCCACACUGGUACUGAGACACGGACCAGACUCCUACGGGAGGCAGCAGUGAGGAAUUUGGUCAUUGGGCGCAAGCCUGAACCAGCCAUCCCGCGUGCAGGAAGACGGCCCUAUGGGUUGUAAACUGCUUUUCUGAGGGAAGAAUAACGCUGAUUCGUUCAGUGGACGACGGUACCUCAGGAAUAAGCAUCGGCUAACUCCGUGCCAGCAGCCGCGGUAAUACGGAGGAUGCAAGCGUUAUCCGGAUUCAUUGGGUUUAAAGGGUGCGUAGGCGGACUGGUAAGUCAGUGGUGAAAUCCUGCAGCUUAACUGUGGAAUUGCCAUUGAAACUGUCAGUCUUGAGUCAGGUUGAGGUAGGCGGAAUGUGUAAUGUAGCGGUGAAAUGCAUAGAUAUUACACAGAACACCGAUUGCGUAGGCAGCUUACUGGACCUGCACUGACGCUGAGGCACGAAAGCGUGGGGAUCAAACAGGAUUAGAUACCCUGGUAGUCCAUGCCGUAAACUAUGAUUACUCGUUGUUGGCAAUACAUCGUCAGCGACCAAGCGAAAGCGAUAAGUAAUCCACCUGGGGAGUACGCUCGCAAGAGUGAAACUCAAAGGAAUUGACGGGGGCCCGCACAAGCGGUGGAACAUGUGGUUUAAUUCGAUGAUACGCGAGGAACCUUACCUGGGCUUAAAUGUAGACUGCAUAGCGUGGAAACAUGCUUUUCUU